CUAUUAUUUUUGCAGGAGAACAAGUUUUUGAAGUUCCUCAGUUUUACGUGCAAUUCCUUAUCAUGGUAAAUUCUUGAAAAGGCAGCCAUGGAGAACUAACUGCUAUAGACUUCUGGUUGUUGUCUCAACCCCAAGAUCAGGUCCAGUGUAGGAAUUUAAUGGUGGAAACUGGAGAGGCUGUGUUUUGCAUCUGAGAAUAAAUUUAGUAAUCCCUGGGAUUCAACUAGAUUGUGGAAGUUAAAUUUAUUCUUUUGUUGCAGGUUCUGUGUUUUUUCUGUCAUUGAAUUAGCAGUUUUGCUGGGCUAUUUUUGUGGAGCCAAUAUGAGUUCAACUGGUCCUUCCAUGGGUUCUGAUUAGUUUAUUUCCUCUUGCAUCAUUUUCCAUUACUUAAUAAAAGAAGCUUCUUGGUUUGUAUGUGCAGCUAUGCAAAAGUUAGGCAAAUUUAUAAGUGUAAUGCAUUCCAAAAUAAUUUAUGUGCAUAUAUAUACACAUGUGCUCACACUUCUCCUCCCUCAUUAAAUUCUACUUUAACAUCAUUUCAAGUGGUAAAAAAUGCUAGAAGCGCAUUUGAAUUUGGAAGGACCUAUGCAAAGGUAAACGCCAAGCUACUGUUGUAUGGCUACAUGGUUUAGGUGAUAAUGGAUCAAGGUAACAUUACUUUACCAUUGCUUUCUUCAUGUCUGAUAUAUUAGUGACUUGUGCUGCUUAUCAUUCAUAUCCUGUGCUCCUCUCUUUGAGUUUUAUCAAUGUUAGGUGAAUAGAGCGUAGUGGAUAAAGAACUAACACCUAAGUAGAAUGCCCCCUCCCCCUUUCCUCUCUCUCUCUCUCUCUCUCUCUCUCUCUCUUUCUCUCUCUCUCAAACUUUUGAUCUUUUGGACUUAGUCAAUGUUGGCAUCAGUUAUUUGAUUAAGACAUUAGGGAUGAUCUUUUGUUGAAUAAGAAAUAGGAAUUUUUACCUGCAUUAAAAGUCCAAACUGCGUCUUUUAUACUUGCUUUCAUGUAAUAUUCUAUUGCACUUUGGAAACUGAAUGAUCCACGUUGUUUUUGAUAUGAUAUUUAAAUGAUUCCUAUAUGUCCAUUUCUUAAUUCUUAUUCAGAAUAAUAACAUUUUAGGAUUCAAAUAAAGUCUGAUUUCAAGUGCCAAAAAUUUCAACCAAUCAUUGUUAUCCUUCCAUUUUAUUGCUGAUUGCAACAUUAAGGUUUAUGGAAACUGAUAUUGUGCUCAUGGUUGGCCCUCAGUCCUCCGUGGUAACCUUUAUUGAAAUUGAGCUUUGACUGCCUCUAUUAUCAUAUUCAGCUAUGGACCCAAUUCCUUCUUCACUUCAGUUCCCAUUCUUUGUUAGGACAUCUUAGAAUGGCACCAAAUAUAGCCACUUCUAGCUCUCUCAGCCACCUGCAACCUGCUUCAAAUGGACAUACUACAUUUUUUCAGUCAAUUGCCUUUUUUUGUGCUUAACAGUUCUGUUCAUCCUUUAUCUUUUAUGGGUUUCAAUACGUUCAAUUUUCUGGGCACAAAGCACCGGUAUAUAUAUAUAUAUAUAUAUAUAUAUAUAUAUAUAUAUAUAUAUAUGAGGGUUUGAGCCAAGGCUGACAUAUGGUCGUUUCUGGUUUUUGCCUGGAUUUAAUUAGUGUAGAUCUAAAUGCUCACAAUUAUACCUUCACUUCGUACUUCAUAUCUAUUGUUUAAUUUAUCUGUCUGUUAGAAUAUCGUUUAUCACUCAUGGCUUUUUGCUGUUGUACAUUGAUUAUUCGUUUAUUGCUAAAAUUUAAUCCAGUGUGUCCAAAGAAUGAAUUCUAGCACAUUCUCUAGAUUCUUUCGGUGUUUAAAUAUAAAAUUUCCCACCAAUUAGUUCCCCUUUUUAUUAUGAUAAGUAGGUGUUCACUUUUGCGUUUUUGUGUUUCUUCUAAGAGCAAGUUUAAGAAAGAGUGUGUUCAUCGGGCAAAGUCACCAUGAGAGUAUUUUGGACUCUGGUGUUGAUGAUUUUAAGUAAUGGAGUUGUUGUAAGCGGGGCUAAUAAAAGACCAGAAUUUGUAAA
This is a long non-coding RNA of Hevea brasiliensis (rubber tree), 2036 nucleotides long. RefSeq lists it as uncharacterized. The record is from RefSeq and is a predicted model, not a curated record. NCBI's taxonomy places the organism in Eukaryota, Viridiplantae, Streptophyta, Magnoliopsida, Malpighiales, Euphorbiaceae. The transcript is spliced from 2 exons.